RNAcentral lists this ribosomal RNA (253 nucleotides) under uncultured bacterium. RNAcentral's name for it is "partial 16S ribosomal RNA". It matches the Rfam family "Bacterial small subunit ribosomal RNA", at positions 524 to 776 of the family's 1533-position model. The record is from RNAcentral.
UACAGAGGGUGCGAGCGUUAAUCGGAAUUACUGGGCGUAAAGCGCGCGUAGGCGGCUUUUCAAGUCGAUUGUGAAAUCCCCGGGCUUAACCUGGGAACUGCAGUCGAGACUGUCUAGCUAGAGUAUGGGAGAGGGAAGUGGAAUUUCAGGUGUAGCGGUGAAAUGCGUAGAGAUGUGGAGGAACACCAGUGGCGAAGGCGACUCUUUGGCCUGUAACUGACGCUGAGGCGCGAAAGCGUGGGGAGCAAACAGG